Molecule: ribosomal RNA, 500 nt
Filed under: uncultured bacterium
Lineage: Bacteria
Description: partial 16S ribosomal RNA
Rfam family: Bacterial small subunit ribosomal RNA
Source: RNAcentral
AUUGAACGCUGGCGGCAUGCCUUACACAUGCAAGUCGAACGGCAGCACGGGAGCAAUCCUGGUGGCGAGUGGCGAACGGGUGAGUAAAGUGUCGGAACGUGCCCAGUCGUGGGGGAUAACGUAGCGAAAGUUACGCUAAUACCGCAUACGAUCUAUGGAUGAAAGCGGGGGAUCGCAAGACCUCGCGCGAUUGGAGCGGCCGAUAUCAGAUUAGGUAGUUGGUGGGGUAAAGGCUCACCAAGCCGACGAUCUGUAGCUGGUCUGAGAGGAUGAUCAGCCACACUGGGACUGAGACACGGCCCAGACUCCUACGGGAGGCAGCAGUGGGGAAUAUUGGACAAUGGGGGCAACCCUGAUCCAGCAAUGCCGCGUGUGUGAAGAAGGCCUUCGGGUUGUAAAGCACUUUAGUUGGGGAAGAAGGUGUAUUGUUUAAGAGAUGAUACAUUUGACUGUACCCAAAGAAUAAGCACCGGCUAACUCUGUGCCAGCCGCCGCCGUAA